Molecule: long non-coding RNA, 820 nt
Filed under: Homo sapiens (human)
Lineage: Eukaryota; Metazoa; Chordata; Mammalia; Primates; Hominidae
Description: HSALNT0227162
Source: RNAcentral
GUGAAACCUCAUCUCUACUAAAAAUACAAAAAUCAGUUGUGUAUGGUGGUGUGUGCCUGUAAUCCCAGCUACUCAAGAGGCUGAGGCAUGAGAAUCGCUUGAACUUGGGAGGCAGAGGUUGCGGUGAGCCGAGAUCGCGACACUGCACUCCAGCCUGGGCGAAAGAGCAAAACUCUGUCUCCAAAAAAAACAAAAAAACAAAAAACAAAAAAACAAAAAAAACCCAAUACAGGGCAGGGCAUGUUCUUUGAUCAUAGAGCAGUAAGUUAAAAAUCAAUAAUCAUUAGAUAUCUAGGAAAACCCAAACACUAGAUAAACUUUUAAGUAAUUCAUGGAUCAAAGAAGAAAUCAGAAAACAAAUUAACACGGAUUAGUGGACAUUUAAAGAUUUAUAUACUCAUGUUAUAAAGAAAGCAGGAUUAAAAUAAAUGAUUUAAGAUUCCACUUUAAAGGGUUUGAAAAAGAACAAAGAGGCCAGACACAGUGGCUCACACCUGUAAUCCCAGCACUUUGAGAGGCUGAGGCAGGUGGCUCUCCUGAGGUCAGGAGUUGGAGAACAGCCUAGCCAACAUGGCAAAACCCCAUCUCUACUAAAAAUACAAAAAUUAGCAGGGCGGGUUGGGGCACGCCUGUAAUCCCAGGCUACUUGGGAGGCUACUUGGGAGGCAGAGGCACAAAAAUCUAUUGAACCCAGGAGGCAGAGGCUGCAGUGAGCUGAGAUCACACCACUGCACUCCAGCCUGGGCGACAGAGUGAGACUCUGUCUCAAAAAAAAGAAAAAGAACAAAGAAAAGCUAAACUAAGUAGAGGGAAGGAAACG